UACGUAGGGUGCGAGCGUUGUCCGGAAUUACUGGGCGUAAAGAGCUCGUAGGUGGUUUGUCGCGUUGUUCGUGAAAACCUGAGGCUUAACCUUGGGCGUGCGGGCGAUACGGGCAGACUGGAGUACUGCAGGGGAGACUGGAAUUCCUGGUGUAGCGGUGGAAUGCGCAGAUAUCAGGAGGAACACCGGUGGCGAAGGCGGGUCUCUGGGCAGUAACUGACGCUGAGAAGCGAAAGCGUGGGGAGCGAACAGG
Molecule: ribosomal RNA, 253 nt
Filed under: uncultured bacterium
Lineage: Bacteria
Description: partial 16S ribosomal RNA
Rfam family: Bacterial small subunit ribosomal RNA
Source: RNAcentral